UGCUAUACAUGCAGUCGAGCGGACAGAAGGGAGCUUGCUCCCGGAUGUUAGCGGCGGACGGGUGAGUAACACGUGGGUAACCUGCCUGUAAGACUGGGAUAACUCCGGGAAACCGGAGCUAAUACCGGAUAGUUCCUUGAACCGCAUGGUUCAAGGAUGAAAGACGGUUUCGGCUGUCACUUACAGAUGGACCCGCGGCGCAUUAGCUAGUUGGUGGGGUAAUGGCUCACCAAGGCGACGAUGCGUAGCCGACCUGAGAGGGUGAUCGGCCACACUGGGACUGAGACACGGCCCAGACUCCUACGGGAGGCAGCAGUAGGGAAUCUUCCGCAAUGGACGAAAGUCUGACGGAGCAACGCCGCGUGAGUGAUGAAGGUUUUCGGAUCGUAAAGCUCUGUUGUUAGGGAAGAACAAGUGCGAGAGUAACUGCUCGCACCUUGACGGUACCUAACCAGAAAGCCACGGCUAACUACGUGCCAGCAGCCGCGGUAAUACGUAGGUGGCAAGCGUUGUCCGGAAUUAUUGGGCGUAAAGGGCUCGCAGGCGGUUUCUUAAGUCUGAUGUGAAAGCCCCCGGCUCAACCGGGGAGGGUCAUUGGAAACUGGGAAACUUGAGUGCAGAAGAGGAGAGUGGAAUUCCACGUGUAGCGGUGAAAUGCGU
Molecule: ribosomal RNA, 660 nt
Filed under: Bacillus zhangzhouensis
Lineage: Bacteria; Bacillati; Bacillota; Bacilli; Caryophanales; Bacillaceae
Description: bacterial SSU rRNA
Rfam family: Bacterial small subunit ribosomal RNA
Source: RNAcentral